AGAGCGAACGCUGGCGGCAGGCUUAACACAUGCAAGUCGAGCGGGCGUAGCAAUACGUCAGCGGCAGACGGGUGAGUAACGCGUGGGAACGUACCUUUUGGUUCGGAACAACACAGGGAAACUUGUGCUAAUACCGGAUAAGCCCUUACGGGGAAAGAUUUAUCGCCGAAAGAUCGGCCCGCGUCUGAUUAGCUAGUUGGUGAGGUAACGGCUCACCAAGGCGACGAUCAGUAGCUGGUCUGAGAGGAUGAUCAGCCACAUUGGGACUGAGAUACGGCCCAGACUCCUACGGGAGGCAGCAGUGGGGAAUAUUGCACAAUGGGCGCAAGCCUGAUGCAGCGACGCCGCGUGGGGGAUGACGGCCUUCGGGUUGUAACCCUUUCAGUAGGGACGAAGCGCAAGUGACGGUACCUACAGAAGAAGCACCGGCCAACUACGCGCCAGCAGCCGC
This 451-nucleotide ribosomal RNA is filed under the name uncultured bacterium. RNAcentral's name for it is "SSU rRNA". It matches the Rfam family "Bacterial small subunit ribosomal RNA", at positions 26 to 518 of the family's 1533-position model. The record is from RNAcentral.